This 1238-nucleotide ribosomal RNA is filed under the name Diaporthe oncostoma. Its description in RNAcentral is "eukaryotic LSU rRNA". It matches the Rfam family "Eukaryotic large subunit ribosomal RNA", at positions 136 to 1401 of the family's 3401-position model. Lineage: Eukaryota; Fungi; Ascomycota; Sordariomycetes; Diaporthales; Diaporthaceae. The record is from RNAcentral.
GCCCGAGUUGUAAUUUGCAGAGGAUGCUUCUGGCGCGGUGCCUUCCGAGUUCCCUGGAACGGGACGCCACAGAGGGUGAGAGCCCCGUAUGGUCGGACACCAAGCCUGUGUGAAGCUCCUUCGACGAGUCGAGUAGUUUGGGAAUGCUGCUCUAAAUGGGAGGUAAAUCUCUUCUAAAGCUAAAUACCGGCCAGAGACCGAUAGCGCACAAGUAGAGUGAUCGAAAGAUGAAAAGCACCUUGAAAAGGGGGUUAAAUAGUACGUGAAAUUGUUGAAAGGGAAGCACUUAUGACCAGACUUGGGCCGGGCGGCUCAUCAGGGGUUCUCCCCUGUGCACUCCGCCCGGCACAGGCCAGCAUCGGUUCUCGUGGGGGGAUAAGACCGUCAGGAACGUAGCACCCUCCGGGGUGUGUUAUAGCCUGGCGGACGAUACCCCCGUGGGGACCGAGGUCCGCGCUCCGCAAGGAUGCUGGCGUAAUGGUCAUCAGUGACCCGUCUUGAAACACGGACCAAGGAGUCGUCCAUUAGAGCGAGCGUUUGGGUGUAAAACCCGCACGCGUAAUGAAAGUGAACGCAGGUGAGAGCUUCGGCGCAUCAUCGACCGAUCCUGAUGUUCUCGGAAGGAUUUGAGUAAGAGUUUUAACGGACGGACCCGAAAGACAGUGAACUAUGCUUGUAUAGGGUGAAGCCAGAGGAAACUCUGGUGGAGGCUCGCAGCGGUUCUGACGUGCAAAUCGAUCGUCAAAUAUGAGCAUGGGGGCGAAAGACUAAUCGAACUGUCUAGUAGCUGGUUACCGCCGAAGUUUCCCUCAGGAUAGCAGUGUUGAUCUUCAGUUUUAUGAGGUAAAGCGAAUGAUUAGGGACUCGGGGGCUAUAUAUUGCCUUCAUCCAUUCUCAAACUUUAAAUAUGUAAGAAGCCCUUGUUACUUAGUUGAACGUGGGCAUUCGAAUGUACCAACACUAGUGGGCCAUUUUUGGUAAGCAGAACUGGCGAUGCGGGAUGAACCGAACGCGGGGUUAAGGCGCCAGAGUGUACGCUCAUCAGACACCACAAAAGGCGUUAGUACAUCUUGACAGCAGGACGGUGGCCAUGGAAGUCGGAAUCCGCUAAGGACUGUGUAACAACUCACCUGCCGAAUGUACUAGCCCUGAAAANGGAUGGCGCUCAAGCGUACCGCCCAUACCCCGCCCCCAGGGUGGAAACGAUGCCCUGGGGAGUAGGCGGCCGUGGGGGUCAG